Orcinus orca (killer whale) is the source of this 1390-nucleotide long non-coding RNA. RefSeq lists it as uncharacterized. The record is from RefSeq and is a predicted model, not a curated record. The transcript has 2 exons. Lineage: Eukaryota; Metazoa; Chordata; Mammalia; Artiodactyla; Delphinidae.
CAGGCUCAAUAGUUGUGGUGCACGGGCUGAGUUGCUCCGCGGCAUGUGGGAUCUUCCCGGACCAGGGCUCGAACCCGUGUCCCUUGCAUUGGCAGGCGGAUUCUCAGCCACUGCGCCACCAGGGAAGCCCUCAUCUUCUUUCUGUAAUCUCAUCCUCAACCUUAAAAUCCCACUGUCCUCACCUCUCUGCUUCCAAAGCUCAGGGCUUAGCUUCCUGCUCUUCUCUAUCCACUAAAGAAAGGCUUAUUUUCCCUUGAAUCAUUUUUUUCUUUUUUUAUUGAAGGAUAGUUGGUUUACAAUACUGUGUUAGGUUCAGGUGUACAGCAAAGUGAUUUGGUUACACAUAUAUAUUAAAAAAAAUUCUUUUCCAUUAUAGUUUAUUACAAGAUAGUGAAUACUGUUCCCUGGGCUGUAUGAUCAUUUUUUAAAGAUAUGACAAAAAAGCCAAGUUUUUACCAAUUAUUUCAGACAACUCAAAACUGUUGAAAGGGAAAAGUGGGCGUCACCCCCGAUGCCCUCUCCAAGAUUCUUUUCCCUUAUAGUUUAUUACUGAAUAUUGAGUAUAGUUCCUGGUCUUCUUAUUCACACCUCGCGUUGUUAUUUCGAUGGUUUGGUUUUCCACAGUCUCUCUGUCCAUGGUCAUUCUGAGGGCGCUGGCUGGUGGUGGAAGAUGGUAUUCUUUCCAGACCCUUUGGUGGCCUCAGAGUUAACUUAGAGCUUCUGACUGGGCACAUGGCAGUGCGUUUAGACACAGUCCUCUUGCUGUGAUGUGUUCCAGGAGCGGCGCCCCUACAUCCGGACCUACAAUUCAAACUCCAGCUCCUGCUUCCAGUCUCCUCCAGUCCCCACUCCUCUGGGUGAGCUGAAACCCCCCUGAGGGCUCUCUCCCCUCCUGUGGACACCAGACUGUGACCUUCUUGGAAGACGGUGGUGCAGUGCCAAGUUCAAGUCCUGGGUUCAAAUCCUGGCUCUGCUAUUGACUAGCUGGGUCUCCAAGAUAAAAACAUGGCAGGGACUGUGAUGGUUCUAAUGAGGCGGUCGCUAGGAGACUGUUCUGCCAGUUCCUUCCCACCUUCCCCACCCCUCAAAUAAUAGCAACUAGCAAGAAACUACAGGAAUCUAACAGACCCUUAAUCCACUAACCCCUUCUGCAGACAAUGCAAAGGAACAGGCUGUGCAGCAUCGUGGGUAGGACCUCUGGCUCCAGAGAGGGGCUGCCUGCAUCCAGUUCCAGCCCCCCCACCCCCUACAAGCUGUUCUUCCUUAGCCUCAGUUUUCCCCUUGCCUUGUAGAUAGGGUUGUGUUAUUAAAUGAGGGACCAUACGUGAAGUGUUUGGCACGGUGCCUGGCACGUUGUAAGUGCUCAAUAAACGUUAGCCAUUGCUAUUUU